GGCCCGGUGGUGAAAUGGUAGACACGACGGAUUCAAAAUCCGUUGCUUUCGGGCGUGCCGGUUCAAGUCCGGCCCGGGCCACCA
This 84-nucleotide transfer RNA is filed under the name Halobacteriovorax sp. JY17. RNAcentral describes it as "tRNA-Leu". It matches the Rfam family "tRNA". From Rfam's summary of the family: Transfer RNA (tRNA) molecules are approximately 80 nucleotides in length. Their secondary structure includes four short double-helical elements and three loops (D, anti-codon, and T loops). The record is from RNAcentral. Lineage: Bacteria; Pseudomonadati; Bdellovibrionota; Bacteriovoracia; Bacteriovoracales; Halobacteriovoraceae.